GUUUUAUCGGGAGUUUCCUUCAAGCACUUCACGUAGAGCUUAAUUUCUAUUGACAUGGAGCUUUGGAACAAUGUGAAGUGUUUGGGGGAACUCUUGAUACCAA
Molecule: microRNA precursor, 103 nt
Filed under: Oryza longistaminata (longstamen rice)
Lineage: Eukaryota; Viridiplantae; Streptophyta; Magnoliopsida; Poales; Poaceae
Description: pre miRNA mir-395
Rfam family: mir-395 microRNA precursor family
About the family: mir-395 was identified in both Arabidopsis thaliana and Oryza sativa computationally and was later experimentally verified. mir-395 is thought to target mRNAs coding for ATP sulphurylases.
Source: RNAcentral